Molecule: ribosomal RNA, 497 nt
Filed under: uncultured bacterium
Lineage: Bacteria
Description: partial 16S ribosomal RNA
Rfam family: Bacterial small subunit ribosomal RNA
Source: RNAcentral
GACGAACGCUGGCGGCGUGCCUAAUACAUGCAAGUAGAACGCUGAAGGAAGGAGCUUGCUCUUUCUGGAUGAGUUGCGAACGGGUGAGUAACGCGUAGGUAACCCGCCUGGUAGCGGGGGAUAACUAUUGGAAACGAUAGCUAAUACCGCAUAAAAUUGAUUAUUGCAUGAUAGUCAAUUAAAAGGUGCAACUGCACCACUACCAGAUGGACCUGCGUUGUAUUAGCUAGUUGGUGGGGUAACGGCUCACCAAGGCGACGAUACAUAGCCGACCUGAGAGGGUGAUCGGCCACACUGGGACUGAGACACGGCCCAGACUCCUACGGGAGGCAGCAGUAGGGAAUCUUCGGCAAUGGACGGAAGUCUGACCGAGCAACGCCGCGUGAGUGAAGAAGGUUUUCGGAUCGUAAAGCUCUGUUGUAAGAGAAGAACGAGUGUGAGAGUGGAAAGUUCACACUGUGACGGUAGCUUACCAGAAAGGGACGGCUAACUACGUG